This 496-nucleotide ribosomal RNA is filed under the name uncultured bacterium. RNAcentral describes it as "partial 16S ribosomal RNA". It matches the Rfam family "Bacterial small subunit ribosomal RNA", at positions 28 to 506 of the family's 1533-position model. The record is from RNAcentral.
GAUGAACGCUGGCGGCGUGCCUAAUACAUGCAAGUCGAGCGAACAGACGAGGAGCUUGCUCCUCUGACGUUAGCGGCGGACGGGUGAGUAACACGUGGAUAACCUACCUAUAAGACUGGGAUAACUUCGGGAAACCGGAGCUAAUACCGGAUAAUAUAUUGAACCGCAUGGUUCAAUAGUGAAAGACGGUUUUGCUGUCACUUAUAGAUGGAUCCGCGCCGCAUUAGCUAGUUGGUAAGGUAACGGCUUACCAAGGCGACGAUGCGUAGCCGACCUGAGAGGGUGAUAGGCCACACUGGAACUGAGACACGGUCCAGACUCCUACGGGAGGCAGCAGUAGGGAAUCUUCCGCAAGGGGCGAAAGCCUGACGGAGCAACGCCGCGUGAGUGAUGAAGGUCUUCGGAUCGUAAAACUCUGUUAUUAGGGAAGAACAAAUGUGUAAGUAACUAUGCACGUCUUGACGGUACCUAAUCAGAAAGCCACGGCUAACUACGU